AUCCAGCUGACGAGUCCCAAAUAGGAUGAAACACGCAUCCUGGAU
Molecule: non-coding RNA, 45 nt
Organism: Schistosoma haematobium
Lineage: Eukaryota; Metazoa; Platyhelminthes; Trematoda; Strigeidida; Schistosomatidae
Source: Rfam